RNAcentral lists this ribosomal RNA (506 nucleotides) under uncultured bacterium. RNAcentral's name for it is "bacterial SSU rRNA". It matches the Rfam family "Bacterial small subunit ribosomal RNA", at positions 17 to 518 of the family's 1533-position model. The record is from RNAcentral.
UCCUGGCUCAGGAUGAACGCUAGCGGCAGGCUUAACACAUGCAAGUCGAGGGGCAUCGGGAGUAGCAAUACUGCCGGCGACCGGCGCAAGGGUGCGUAACGCGUGAGCAACAUGCCCGUAUCAGGGGGAUAAUCCAUGGAAACGUGGUCUAAUACCCCAUAGUAAUUAUGUAAGGCAUCUUAUAUAAUUUAAAGCUUUGGUGGAUACGGAUUGGCUCGCGUGACAUUAGCUGGAUGGUAAGGUAACGGCUUACCAUGGCUACGAUGUCUAGGGGUUCUGAGAGGAAGGUCCCCCACACUGGAACUGAGACACGGUCCAGACUCCUACGGGAGGCAGCAGUGAGGAAUAUUGGACAAUGGAUGGAAAUCUGAUCCAGCCAUGCCGCGUGCAAGGAAGACGGCCCUAUGGGUUGUAAACUGCUUUUGUAUGGGAGCAAUAAGGGCUACGUGUAGUCCGAUGAGAGUACCAUACGAAUAAGCACCGGCUAACUCCGUGCCAGCCGCCGC